AGUGAACGCUGGCGGUAGGCCUAACACAUGCAAGUCGAACGGCAGCACAGUAAGCGCUUGCUCUUACGGGUGGCGAGUGGCGGACGGGUGAGGAGUACAUCGGAAUCUACUUUUUCUUGGGGGAUAACGUAGGGAAACUUACGCUAAUACCGCAUAUGACCUACGGGUGAAAGCAGGGGAUCUUCGGACCUUGCGCGAUUGAAUGAGCCGAUGUCGGAUUAGCUAGUUGGCGGGGUAAGGGCCCACCAAGGCGACGAUCCGUAGCUGGUCUGAGAGGAUGAUCAGCCACACUGGAACUGAGACACGGUCCAGACUCCUACGGGAGGCAGCAGUAGGGAAUCUUGCACAAUGGGCGAAAGCCUGAUCGAGCCAUACCGCGUGAGUGAUGAAGGCCUUCGGGUUGUAAAGCCCUUUUGUUGGGAAAGAAAAGAAGCAGAUUAAUACCCCGAUGUUUUGACGGUACCCAAAGAGUAAGCACCGGCUAACUUCGUG
Molecule: ribosomal RNA, 492 nt
Filed under: uncultured bacterium
Lineage: Bacteria
Description: partial 16S ribosomal RNA
Rfam family: Bacterial small subunit ribosomal RNA
Source: RNAcentral